GGCGGUGUAGCUCAGGGGUUAGAGCAAGCGGCUCAUAUCCGCUUUGUCGGGGGUUCGAAUCCCUCCACCGCUA
RNAcentral lists this transfer RNA (73 nucleotides) under Acidobacteriota bacterium. RNAcentral describes it as "tRNA-Met". It matches the Rfam family "tRNA". Rfam says of the family: Transfer RNA (tRNA) molecules are approximately 80 nucleotides in length. Lineage: Bacteria; Pseudomonadati; Acidobacteriota. The record is from RNAcentral. RNAcentral also lists the same sequence under 1 other name.